GGAACAGCACAAAGCAGACUCAGGGAGAGGGACUGCACGGCACAACUCCAGUGGGGAAACAGCCAGCUCUGCCUCGGGACACGGGGACAGUUUAUUAUAGGACUGGCUACAAGUGAUGUCCUUGGUGUGAGACCUAAGGCACAACUGACCUGGGAGCACUGACCACGUGGGACUGCUUUGCAGACAAAUAGGAGGUCCCUGAUCUGAAAAGCUUAUCCACAGACCCACGGCCCUACUGGUACAUCGGACGUCCACUGCUGAUUUCAGUGGGAGUUUGGGAUGUGUCAGAGAAGCAUGUUCAGGCAACUGAUCCAGAGCGUUGAAGACAAACCAUAAUCUCUUGCCAAGUUUGCACCACCCUGAGCCAACAACAGAAAUUAUUAGUUUCUCCAUAACACCACAAUGUAAAUUCUGUCAUUGCCUGUGUUGUGUGACGGGGCUCCACUCACCAUGCUGGCAACUCCUGUUGGCCAUCUUGGGGAUUAGCUCCGCAGUGGAUACACCCACUCCCAGUGGUGCCUCGCCCACCAUCACUUAUGCUCCCGGACCACAUCAUUCCAAAGAACGUGGCAUUCUCUUCGUGACACGGCCCUCUGUCCGUGCCAUAAUCUGCACUCCCCCCUUCCAGAGGCCAGUGCUGCAGUCCAACUGUCCAGCCACUUCCCCAGCACCCUCUUUGCCCUUCCCUCAGCCUGCAAAUCCCAGCAGCCAGCCAGGAGCUCUUCUCUAUCACCCCUAGUCCCUGCUAGCAGCAGUGCUCUGUCCAGGAUGCUAACUUCCUUCUGCCUGCCAGGCAUCCAGUCCUCCCUCCUUGAGCUCCAGGGUAUAACUGACUCUGUUCUGCCUUAUAUUGGGCUGCUGGGCCCUGAUUGGCU
Molecule: long non-coding RNA, 875 nt
Organism: Mauremys mutica (yellowpond turtle)
Lineage: Eukaryota; Metazoa; Chordata; Testudines; Geoemydidae
Exons: 3
Source: RefSeq, a predicted model, not a curated record